RNAcentral lists this ribosomal RNA (2105 nucleotides) under Salmonella enterica. RNAcentral's name for it is "partial 23S ribosomal RNA". It matches the Rfam family "Bacterial large subunit ribosomal RNA", at positions 161 to 2290 of the family's 2925-position model. RNAcentral also lists the same sequence under 1 other name. Lineage: Bacteria; Pseudomonadati; Pseudomonadota; Gammaproteobacteria; Enterobacterales; Enterobacteriaceae. The record is from RNAcentral.
AAUCCAUAGGUUAAUGAGGCGAACCGGGGGAACUGAAACAUCUAAGUACCCCGAGGAAAAGAAAUCAACCGAGAUUCCCCCAGUAGCGGCGAGCGAACGGGGAGGAGCCCAGAGCCUGAAUCAGCAUGUGUGUUAGUGGAAGCGUCUGGAAAGGCGCGCGAUACAGGGUGACAGCCCCGUACACAAAAGCGCAUGUGCUGUGAGCUCGAUGAGUAGGGCGGGACACGUGGUAUCCUGUCUGAAUAUGGGGGGACCAUCCUCCAAGGCUAAAUACUCCUGACUGACCGAUAGUGAACCAGUACCGUGAGGGAAAGGCGAAAAGAACCCCGGCGAGGGGAGUGAAAAAGAACCUGAAACCGUGUACGUACAAGCAGUGGGAGCACCCUUUGGGUGUGACUGCGUACCUUUUGUAUAAUGGGUCAGCGACUUAUAUUCUGUAGCAAGGUUAACCGAAUAGGGGAGCCGGAGGGAAACCGAGUCUUAACCGGGCGUUAAGUUGCAGGGUAUAGACCCGAAACCCGGUGAUCUAGCCAUGGGCAGGUUGAAGGUUGGGUAACACUAACUGGAGGACCGAACCGACUAAUGUUGAAAAAUUAGCGGAUGACCUGUGGCUGGGGGUGAAAGGCCAAUCAAACCGGGAGAUAGCUGGUUCUCCCCGAAAGCUAUUUAGGUAGCGCCUCGUGAAUUCAUCUCCGGGGGUAGAGCACUGUUUCGGCUAGGGGGCCAUCCCGGCUUACCAACCCGAUGCAAACUGCGAAUACCGGAGAAUGUUAUCACGGGAGACACACGGCGGGUGCUAACGUCCGUCGUGAAGAGGGAAACAACCCAGACCGCCAGCUAAGGUCCCAAAGUCAUGGUUAAGUGGGAAACGAUGUGGGAAGGCCCAGACAGCCAGGAUGUUGGCUUAGAAGCAGCCAUCAUUUAAAGAAAGCGUAAUAGCUCACUGGUCGAGUCGGCCUGCGCGGAAGAUGUAACGGGGCUAAACCAUGCACCGAAGCUGCGGCAGCGACACUGUGUGUUGUUGGGUAGGGGAGCGUUCUGUAAGCCUGUGAAGGUGUGUCGUGAGGCAUGCUGGAGGUAUCAGAAGUGCGAAUGCUGACAUAAGUAACGAUAAAGCGGGUGAAAAGCCCGCUCGCCGGAAGACCAAGGGUUCCUGUCCAACGUUAAUCGGGGCAGGGUGAGUCGACCCCUAAGGCGAGGCCGAAAGGCGUAGUCGAUGGGAAACGGGUUAAUAUUCCCGUACUUGGUGUUACUGCGAAGGGGGGACGGAGAAGGCUAUGUUGGCCGGGCGACGGUUGUCCCGGUUUAAGCGUGUAGGUGUGUGUUCCAGGUAAAUCCGGUUCACUUUAACACUGAGGCGUGACGACGAGGCACUACGGUGCUGAAGCAACAAAUGCCCUGCUUCCAGGAAAAGCCUCUAAGCAUCAGGUAACAUCAAAUCGUACCCCAAACCGACACAGGUGGUCAGGUAGAGAAUACCAAGGCGCUUGAGAGAACUCGGGUGAAGGAACUAGGCAAAAUGGUGCCGUAACUUCGGGAGAAGGCACGCUGACACGUAGGUGAAGUGAUUUACUCAUGGAGCUGAAGUCAGUCGAAGAUACCAGCUGGCUGCAACUGUUUAUUAAAAACACAGCACUGUGCAAACACGAAAGUGGACGUAUACGGUGUGACGCCUGCCCGGUGCCGGAAGGUUAAUUGAUGGGGUCAGCGCAAGCGAAGCUCCUGAUCGAAGCCCCGGUAAACGGCGGCCGUAACUAUAACGGUCCUAAGGUAGCGAAAUUCCUUGUCGGGUAAGUUCCGACCUGCACGAAUGGCGUAAUGAUGGCCAGGCUGUCUCCACCCGAGACUCAGUGAAAUUGAACUCGCUGUGAAGAUGCAGUGUACCCGCGGCAAGACGGAAAGACCCCGUGAACCUUUACUAUAGCUUGACACUGAACAUUGAGCCUUGAUGUGUAGGAUAGGUGGGAGGCUUUGAAGUGUGGACGCCAGUCUGCAUGGAGCCGACCUUGAAAUACCACCCUUUAAUGUUUGAUGUUCUAACGUGGACCCGUUACCCGGGUUGCGGACAGUGUCUGGUGGGUAGUUUGACUGGGGCGGUCUCCUCC